This 125-nucleotide microRNA precursor is filed under the name Brassica napus (rape). Its description in RNAcentral is "MIR9563 microRNA precursor family". It matches the Rfam family "MIR9563 microRNA precursor family". The record is from Rfam by way of RNAcentral. Lineage: Eukaryota; Viridiplantae; Streptophyta; Magnoliopsida; Brassicales; Brassicaceae. RNAcentral also lists the same sequence under 1 other name.
AGAAUAUAAGAAACCGUCUCUUAACUUUUAACUAAAAAAACUAAAAACUGGCUCUUAAACUAAGAUACUUAAGAGUCGGUUAUUGUUUUUUUAGUUAAAAGUUGAGAGAUGUUUUCUAAUAUUUU